CAACUUGAGUCAGAAAUUCCCAUGGUGACAUCACAUCCUCCAUUGUCUUUGUUCAUUUCAUCAGCCGUAUUUACUCACAGCAGAGUCACACAGAGAAACAGCAUGAAUAAUACACUCCUGAGUUUCUCUGUCACAUGUAUGUGGCUCACAGCUGCUUGUCUUGGUAAAAAUGUUGAUCAGACGCCUGCGAACCUCAUCAAGAAUCAAGAUGAAUCUGCUCUGAUCUUGUGCACUCAUAAUAUAUCGAACUAUGAACGAAUAUUUUGGUACAAACAAAGUCAGGACAUGUUGGGCCUCAAGUUCAUGGGAUACCUUUAUUACAAAGAUGAUAAUAAAGAGCCUGAAUUCACAAACAAGAUCAAUCUGAAAGGAGAUGGAAGAAAUAAUGGCACUCUGAUUAUCAACGACCUCACACUAACUGACAGUGCAGUGUAUUUCUGUGCAGCAUAUGACACAGUGCUCAGAAUCACAUCUGUCUAAUACAAAAACUCCUCCCCUGUUACAAGAUUAUCAGUGACUGCAAAUUCAUUCCCAGUCUGCAUCUG
Megalobrama amblycephala (Wuchang bream) is the source of this 545-nucleotide non-coding RNA. NCBI's taxonomy places the organism in Eukaryota, Metazoa, Chordata, Actinopteri, Cypriniformes, Xenocyprididae. The record is from the annotation of a RefSeq genome assembly.